GUCCACGCCGUAACGAUGGAUACUAGCUGUUGGGAGCAAUCUCAGUGGCUAAGCGAAGUGAUAAGUAUCCCACCUGGGAGUACGUUCGCAAGAAUGAACUCAAAGGAAUUGACGGGGCCCGCACAAGCGGUGGAGCAUGUGGUUUAAUUCGAUGAUACGCGAGGAACCUUACCAAGGCUUAAAUGUAGAUUGACCGGUUUGGAAACAGAUCUUUCGCAAGACAAUUUACAAGGUGCUGCAUGGUUGUCGU
Molecule: ribosomal RNA, 250 nt
Filed under: uncultured bacterium
Lineage: Bacteria
Description: partial 16S ribosomal RNA
Rfam family: Bacterial small subunit ribosomal RNA
Source: RNAcentral